CACGUAAGUAAUCUACCUUCGAGUGGGGAAUAACGUUCGGAAACGAACGCUAAUACCGCAUAAUGCAGCGGCACCUAAUGGUGACAGUUGUUAAAGGAGCAAUUCGCUUGAAGAGGAGCUUGCGGCAGAUUAGCUAGUUGGUGGGGUAACGGCCUACCAAGGCUACGAUCUGUAACCGGUCUAAGAGGACGGUCGGUCACACUGACACUGAAUAACGGGUCAGACUCCUACGGGAGGCAGCAGUCGGGAAUUUUGGGCAAUGGGCGAAAAGCCUGACCCAGCAACGCCGCGUGAAGGAUG
RNAcentral lists this ribosomal RNA (300 nucleotides) under uncultured Chloracidobacterium sp. Its description in RNAcentral is "bacterial SSU rRNA". It matches the Rfam family "Bacterial small subunit ribosomal RNA", at positions 114 to 410 of the family's 1533-position model. Lineage: Bacteria; Pseudomonadati; Acidobacteriota; Blastocatellia; Chloracidobacteriales; Chloracidobacteriaceae. The record is from RNAcentral.